RNAcentral lists this small RNA (715 nucleotides) under Cryptococcus neoformans H99. RNAcentral's name for it is "Cryptococcus neoformans var. grubii H99 hypothetical RNA". The record is from RNAcentral. Lineage: Eukaryota; Fungi; Basidiomycota; Tremellomycetes; Tremellales; Cryptococcaceae.
UUUGCCGACCUUCGUUUCAGGUCCAUCCACACGACAGUAGCAGGAGCUUGCCAUUGGGCAGUUGUUUGGCUGAAUCGCGUGGGUUGGACGUUCGUAAUCAUGACGUCUGCGAUGAUUCAGUUUGCGAUGCGAGAAAAGGGCGAGCGACGACGAACGACGCGUCUUCAAGUCUAGUUGAAAAGAAAAACAGGCGGCCAGCGGCCAGCGACAAUUAAUUCCUAUUUAUUACUCGUUCGGACUAUGGCGUAUCGAGCCGAAAAAUAUGCGGUAAUCUGUUGAUAAUUUAGUCCUAUAUACUACCAAAAUCGAAGUCAUUCGUUCAUUUACUUCUUCCGUCAUUCGUUUCGUCGUCCAUCGUUUUUCGACGAUGUUCCAUCGGCCGCGCUUGCUCAUCAUCCGGACGACGCUCGUUUUCUUCUGCAUCCUAUCCUCUGCUCAUACAUGGUACUGUAUUCUUGUUCUUUACCACGCCGCUGUGGUAAUACAUACAUCAUCUGUUAUGCGUUACCGUCACCGUCACGGUCAUCGCUCAUUGUCCGCCCUCUGCACAGCAUGCACUUCAUUACUCUCUUCUUUAUAAUUAUACUUGUAUUGUUGUCAUCAUUUUUAUCAAAAAAGUGCUGUCUGGAACUCGGUCCAUGGGGUGCUGUCUGCUCCACGGUUGUUAGACCACGAAACGCAUACUUGGAGAUGAGCUAUGAGUUGUCUUGUCGUG